This 301-nucleotide ribosomal RNA is filed under the name uncultured bacterium. RNAcentral's name for it is "partial 16S ribosomal RNA". It matches the Rfam family "Bacterial small subunit ribosomal RNA", at positions 509 to 809 of the family's 1533-position model. The record is from RNAcentral.
CAGUAGCCGCGGGAAUACAGAGGGUGCGAGCGUUAAUCGGAUUUACUGGGCGUAAAGCGUGCGUAGGCGGCUUCUUAAGUCGGAUGUGAAAUCCCUGAGCUUAACUUAGGAAUUGCAUUCGAUACUGGGAAGCUAGAGUAUGGGAGAGGAUGGUAGAAUUCCAGGUGUAGCGGUGAAAUGCGUAGAGAUCUGGAGGAAUACCGAUGGCGAAGGCAGCCAUCUGGCCUAAUACUGACGCUGAGGUACGAAAGCAUGGGGAGCAAACAGGAUUAGAGACCCCUGUAGUCCCUGUCUCUUAUAA